RNAcentral lists this ribosomal RNA (253 nucleotides) under uncultured bacterium. RNAcentral's name for it is "partial 16S ribosomal RNA". It matches the Rfam family "Bacterial small subunit ribosomal RNA", at positions 524 to 776 of the family's 1533-position model. The record is from RNAcentral.
UACAGAGGGUGCUAGCGUUGUUCGGAAUCAUUGGGCGUAAAGGGCGUGUAGGCGGUUUGUUAAGUCAUGUGUGAAAUCCCUCGGCUCAACCGGGGAACGACGCAUGAAACUGGCAAGCUAGAGUACCAAAGAGGGGGGUGGAAUUCCCGGUGUAGCGGUGAAAUGCGUAGAUAUCAGGAGGAACACCGGUGGCGAAGGCGGUUCUCUGGGCAUUACCUGACGCUGAGGAGCGAAAGCAUGGGGAGCGAACAGG